Mus musculus (house mouse) is the source of this 4003-nucleotide long non-coding RNA. RefSeq annotates it as predicted gene, 35999. The transcript has 3 exons. The record is from RefSeq and is a predicted model, not a curated record. NCBI's taxonomy places the organism in Eukaryota, Metazoa, Chordata, Mammalia, Rodentia, Muridae.
UAAUCAAUACUAAGUGGUUAAGUCCAAUUUGGGUUAGAAUCGUGGCUUAUUUUAUAACUUGCUCUCUGGCCUUGAAUAAGUUACCCAACCUCUGAAAAUCAAUUUUCUCAUUUCCUGUGAGAGUUAACCUGGAAGAAAAAAAACCUUGUAAGAUCCCCUGCUUGGCACAUACUAAGUGGCUGACAAAUGCUACGAUAUUAUAAUUAUUUGUACCCACUGAAUAUUUCCCCACUUAAGUAAAACAUCAUUGAAAUGACUAUCAUCUGUUAUUGGUCUGAAGUCCAAAGGUAGAAGAAGAACUUAAUGUUUGAAAGUGCUCGUGGCCACGGACUGAGCAUGACAUGACAAACAGAGGGUUGGAUGGACACCAGGAAAGUCGGAGUUGUCUGCAAUACUGGCAGUUUGACAUGAAUAAUUUGGAUUGCUUAAUGGUGCACAAAGGCAUGUGAAUGAAAUGAAACAGUAGAGUCUUCCUGAGCCCAAACUGCCAAGAUGAUAAUGCCACUUGGACACUCUAUGAUGAUGGGCCCAGGAAAAAUUCACAGAAGAGGGGGAGGAAAGACUGUAAGAGCCAGAGGACCAGGAUGCCUGUUGCUAGACAGUAUCUUAUAAGGUGACAUGGAGUGUGCAUGUAUAGCAUCUCAAAAAUACAGUUGCUGAAUGAGACGACAUAAUGACAACACCACUUGACCUGACAAUAUGAGCCCAAGAAAUUCGGCAAGGUCCCACACCUCGAUGAAGAGCUACAGGUGGCCAGUGGUUAUUGAGAGCUGCCUGCCUCUACCUCUGAAGAGACUUGCCACCAUGACCAGUGACAAAAAAUUCUUAUUACAGAUUUGUAUUUACAAAUAUUUUUUUUUGGAGUGGACGCUAAUGUAAAUGGUCUGUCCUUUUAAUUUUAAAUUCUAUUGCCAACUGUCAGUAUAUAGGAAAGUAAUGCAUUCUUAUAUAUUAACCUUACAUCUUGAAACUGUUCUGCAAUUGCUUAUAAUCUGAGGAGAUUUUUUUGAUUCUUUUGGAUUUCCUAAGAAAACUAUAAUUAUAAAUAUUAUAAUUUAUUUUGCAACUUGCAUGCCACUUUUCUUUUUCUUAUUGUAUUGAACUGGAAUUCCAGUACAAUAAUGAAAGGGACAGCUUAGUUUCUGAAAAUAUUCUUAUUUUAAUAUGUAAAUUUCAUUUCUAUUCUGAACCUGUUGGAGUAGGGAUAUUUCAUCUUAUAACAUGCCUGGUAUGUUUUCAAUGCUCUUAAAUGUAAUGAAACAAAGUUACAUCUUCAAUUUAUAGCUGAGGAGACUGGGAACAAAGAAUUGACCUUGUUCAAUGGCAAAACCUCAUCCAUUGUUGAGGAAGGCUCCCCCUGGCCCCCGAGCACCCCAAGCCUCGGCCAAUUCUCCAUCUGAAUACAGAAGUGUGAGACUUAAUUCUCCAGAUACUGUCACAUUUUAGUGAGUGACUUUUAUUGCAAUUACCACUGCAGCUUUCCAGACCUACAAGCUGUCACCCACAUUAUAGAAUGACAGGAGUCAUUAUUGACCCUCUCGAGGUGCAGUCUCCUAGCUGAUACACAACUGCUGGACUCAGCAGGUCUCUUUCUCCCAAAUCCAGGCUAGUCCUUGGAAGGCAUUUGUAUGUGUGGACUUUCUGUAACUCAUUUGCCCAGAGUAUACUUUUCAACGGACAUAGUUUGCUCUUUGUCCGUGACUGUUGGGGGGUAGUAUUUGCUGUCUGCUUGGACUUUGCAAAUUUUCUGUGGUAAAGGAUUACAGUGCAAAUAACAGGUCAGUGGCCUUUGGAGGUAGAUAAGCUGUUGUUGAAACCGUCUGAAUGAAUCCAUUCUUCAAUUCAUCCAGUGAUUUCUACUGGAUACUUCUUGUACAAGAAAAGGCAUUUGCAACUGGUAGAGAUGACUCUAACGUGUAAAGUAUUGACUAUUUGUGUAUAAUAUCAAGAUUAAAAAAGUACUUUGAAGCCGGGCGUGGUGGCACACGCCUUUAAUCCCAGCACUCGGGAGGCAGAGGCAGGCAGGUGGAUUUCUGAGUUCGAGGCCAGCCUGGUCUACAGAGUGAGUUCCAGGACAGCCAGGGCUGCACAGAAAAACCCUGUCUCGAAAAACCAAAAAAACAAAACAAAACAAAACAAAACAAAAGAAAAGUACUUUGAAGAAAUGGAGGUACAUAUUACUUGUAAUUGACACUUAAGUAUUCCUGUCUUGCAUUAAAGGUUUGUGUGUGUGUGUGUUUAUGUGUGUGUUCCUUUCUCUUUUAAUUUAUAAAAUCCUUGAAGAGGUUAAUGCCAAUACAUAGUCUCAUAAAGGCUUAAAACUCUUUCUAUAUAACAUAAGCUUGAGACAUAAGUUUUUUUGGGCGAACUCUGUGCCUGGCUCCAACAACUGUAUCUAUAGAUCUUAUUCUUUGCACAGGAUAUUUACUUUUUAGGAUCAAGUUAUAUAGGCACAGUCACCAAGAUAGAUUUCAUGUCAUGAAAAAUACUAUGCGUCAUCAUGUUAUUGGUUAGUGUGAAAUGACUAGCCAGUAAUUGUCAACUAGGUUAAUUUAGUGAUAAUAUGCAGAUUUAUCUUCUAGCAGCUCAUAAGACCUACAAGCUUUCCUGUCUGGAUUAAUUUGGCUUUCAUUGUUUGGCCAGUAGGUAUUAAUUAAUCAACUAUACCUUAGUGAGUUCUCACAGUGUUUCAAUACAGUUGCUUCUAGUGGAUACUAUAUGUGAUAGACAAAUAAAAUAACUAAGACUUUAGGACCUCUACUGUCCUCAAGGUUCACUCAGGAGAAUGAGAGGAACCCUAGUCUGUUUUGCACAGCAAGCUCGUGACACAUGCAUCCAAUCUUCCCUGCCUGCCCUCUUCAGUCCACACUCUUCCUGUUCAUCACCUCACUUCUGCUGCUUUUCUCUGGCUUCCUCUGGCCUUUCCUCCACCCCAGUUCCUCUAACUUGUAGUAUUGAGUUCCAUUGUCAGCAUCAGCCCUUUAGUGCGUGUAUUUUUUUUUUUUGAGUGAUCACGUGAUCUCACUUAAGUCCAUGACUUUAAGCACUAAUUCACCCACAACGAGGACGUCUCUGAAUCCUAGAUUGUUAUAUUCUUAUAACAAGGCCAAGAAAAUUAUUAAUUACCUCCCCUCAAUAGGUCAUAUCCUACCCCUACCCCACCCUGUCCACCCUUCCCCCCACUUAGUUCUAUGGGUCAGUACCUCGCCAUCACUAUUGAGUCCAGUUUUGCUUAUGUCUUAUAUCUAGUUUGUUAGUAACAGAUGACAGCUCUAUUCCCUAAGUAUAGUCAGAACCUGACCACGAGUAACCUUUUCCCUUGCUGGCAUCCCAGCCUAAUGCAUUAUUGUCUUCUGCCUAGGACAGGGCCACAGCUUCCCAGCUUCCACGUAGCCCACUGCGGUCCUCCACAUUCAGACAGUGACUUCCUAGAGCUAGUCCCGGAAACACCAGGAUAAGGUUAGGCCUCCUUGCUGCGGCCGAUAUAGCUCAUCUUCUGCCUCUCUUUGGACCUCAGCUCUCUGUUCUCCCAUUGUGCACUCCACUCCACUAUGGCUGCCCUGACUUCCUCUUAAUCUGUAAGGGUCCGGCCUUGACUUCCUGUUAACCUCACCGUGUCUCUGAGGAUCUCAGCUAUAGUGUCCCUUUCUCGGACAAGCCUUUGAAACCAAAAGAGCAGUCCUUCACAUCACAAAAGCUGAUUUUUAUUGUCUUCAUCUUCAACAAAUAUUUGUUGAAACUUUGGCUGACUUUUUGUAACUUAUUUGCAAGAACAAAGGACUUGAACCAAUCAUCUCUAAUGACUUUUCUAAUGGAAAAUUCCAUUCACUUAAAUGUGGAUUGGUCUGAAUAAUGAGAAACAUAACAAUGUCAGAAUGAUGCUCAGUUUCUCAGACCUCAAUAAAGCAUGUCUCUGUUCACUUACCUUAGCUAUACAGAAUGUCCUCUUCUCUUGUGGCCUCGUGUCCAGCUGGAUAGCACUUUGCCUUGUCACAGGUAUACA